CUAAAGAUGGCGACCGGCGCACGGGUGAGUAACACGUAUCCAACCUGCCGAUAACUCGGGGAUAGCCUUUCGAAAGAAAGAUUAAUAUCCGAUGGUAUAUUUUCUCCGCAUGGUGAGAAUACUAAAGAAUUUCGGUUAUCGAUGGGGAUGCGUUCCAUUAGUUUGUUGGCGGGGUAACGGCCCACCAAGACCACGAUGGAUAGGGGUUCUGAGAGGAAGGUCCCCCACAUUGGAACUGAGACACGGUCCAA
Molecule: ribosomal RNA, 251 nt
Filed under: uncultured bacterium
Lineage: Bacteria
Description: partial 16S ribosomal RNA
Rfam family: Bacterial small subunit ribosomal RNA
Source: RNAcentral